AGCGAACGCUGGCGGCAGGCCUAACACAUGCAAGUCGAACGAACUCUUCGGAGUUAGUGGCGGACGGGUGAGUAACACGUGGGAACGUGCCUUUUGGUUCGGAAUAACUCAGGGAAGCUUGUGCUAAUACCGAAUGUGCCCUUCGGGGGAAAGAUUUAUCGCCAUUAGAGCGGCCCGCGUCUGAUUAGCUAGUUGGUGAGGUGACGGCUCACCAAGGCGACGAUCAGUAGCUGGUCUGAGAGGAUGACCAGCCACACUGGGACUGAGACACGGCCCAGACUCCUACGGGAGGCAGCAGUGGGGAAUCUUGCGCAAUGGGCGAAAGCCUGACGCAGCCAUGCCGCGUGAAUGAUGAAGGUCUUAGGAUUGUAAAAUUCUUUCACCGGGGACGAUAAUGACGGUACCCGGAGAAGAAGCCCCGGCUAACUUCGUG
This 433-nucleotide ribosomal RNA is filed under the name uncultured bacterium. RNAcentral's name for it is "partial 16S ribosomal RNA". It matches the Rfam family "Bacterial small subunit ribosomal RNA", at positions 29 to 507 of the family's 1533-position model. The record is from RNAcentral.